GAUGAACGCUGGCGGCGUGCCUAACACAUGCAAGUCGAACGGAGAAUUAGCAAUAAUUCUUAGUGGCGAACGGGUGAGUAACACGUAGACAACCUACCCUUUAGAUGGGGACAACACCGCGAAAGUGGUGCUAAUACCGAAUAUUGCUUGAGAAGCGCAUGCGUUUCAAACAAAAGAUGGCCCCUAUUUAUAAGCUAUCGCUAAAGAAUGCGUCUGCGCCUGAUUAGCUAGUUGCUGAGAUAAAAGCUCACCAAGGCAACGAUCAGUAGCCGGCCUGAGAGGAUGAACGGCCACCCUGGGACUGAGAAACGGCCCAGACUCCUACGGGAGGUAGCAGUGGGGAAUCUUCCGCAAUGGACGAAAGUCUGACGGAGCAACGCCGCGUGAGUGAUGAAGGUUUUCGGAUCGUAAAACUCUGUUGUUAAGGACGAAUGUAUAGAUUGUGAAUAAUGGUUUAUAAUGACGGUACUUAACGAGGAAGCCACGGCUAACUACGUGCCAGCCGCCGCAGUAA
This 514-nucleotide ribosomal RNA is filed under the name uncultured bacterium. RNAcentral describes it as "partial 16S ribosomal RNA". It matches the Rfam family "Bacterial small subunit ribosomal RNA", at positions 28 to 523 of the family's 1533-position model. The record is from RNAcentral.